ACUCCUACGGGAGGCAGCAGUGGGGAAUUUUGGACAAUGGGCGAAAGCCUGAUCCAGCAAUGCCGCGUGAGUGAAGAAGGCCUUCGGGUUGUAAAGCUCUUUUGUCAGGGAAGAAACGGUGAGAGCUAAUAUCUCUUGCUAAUGACGGUACCUGAAGAAUAAGCACCGGCUAACUACGUGCCAGCAGCCGCGGUAAUACGUAGGGUGCAAGCGUUAAUCGGAAUUACUGGGCGUAAAGCGUGCGCAGGCGGUUUUGUAAGUCUGAUGUGAAAUCCCCGGGCUCAACCUGGGAAUUGCAUUGGAGACUGCAAGGCUAGAAUCUGGCAGAGGGGGGUAGAAUUCCACGUGUAGCAGUGAAAUGCGUAGAUAUGUGGAGGAACACCGAUGGCGAAGGCAGCCCCCUGGGUCAAGAUUGACGCUCAUGCACGAAAGCGUGGGGAGCAAACAGGAUUAGAUACCCGGGUAGUCCCA
RNAcentral lists this ribosomal RNA (471 nucleotides) under uncultured organism. Its description in RNAcentral is "partial 16S ribosomal RNA". It matches the Rfam family "Bacterial small subunit ribosomal RNA", at positions 335 to 797 of the family's 1533-position model. The record is from RNAcentral.